Molecule: long non-coding RNA, 4307 nt
Organism: Triticum aestivum (bread wheat)
Lineage: Eukaryota; Viridiplantae; Streptophyta; Magnoliopsida; Poales; Poaceae
Exons: 5
Source: RefSeq, a predicted model, not a curated record
CUUCUCCCCAUUCUCACCUCUUCCACCUGUUGGCUCACCUCCCGGCCGCGUCGGCCGAUGGCAGUCAACUCUAUGGAGCCCCAUGGCGACCAUACGGAUCCAGCAGGCGGCGAGGUAGGAGAUGUCCGCUUUUGUAAUUGACAGAGCAGGAGACCACGUCGCCGCUCAUGGGAUUGACUUUCUCGCAUCCUUCGCCGCCGAUCUGGAUCUGCAAUCAACACCCAGAUCGGAAGAAGUGGAUGGUGGUUCAUCCGUUCUGAUUUCAGGCGAUAUUCAAACAUCCGACGCAGCCAUGUCCGUGCAGGACGGGUCGAAGCCUUGUCCAUAUCCACCAGUUUGUGGAUCGAAACGCGGAACAUAAUAAUAAUCCACAGCCUCUAUCACCCGGCCAGUCCACAUGAUAAUAGCAUGCUGCCUCCUAAAGAAGGAGGAUAGCCCAAGUUUCAGACAAACGACAAGACCUCAAACCCCUUGAAGCACAGGCUCGUCUUCAACCCCUUGUAGAGAAACACACCGACCUCCCGAACGCCCGUUGCAGGUGCCAAUGGAAUCCACGCAGAUUGGGGGAGAUGCCAUGGUGCAGGGACGCGUUGAUUCCAACCAUGGCCAAUUGGCCAUGCCUCUCCGAUGGGAGGAAUAGAGGGACCUGCAGCUGUUCAUGGUCUAGAAAUUCGCAUCAAUCGUCCCUGAUAUGGGAACUGAAGAAAUCCCCAGAUCUCAAGUUAUAGAUGGUGGCUCGUGCAGUCUACCGCAUGGCCUCCUAGGCCUGAUGCACAAAACGGCGGCCGUGGCGAUGCGAACGCUCAGCCGUAUGAGACAACGGGAGGUUGGAAACGCAGGAACCGGAUUCAUAAUGGGCAUGCGGCUAGUGCAACCCCAAGCAAACUGAGCUCGAUUGAAAGAUGUCUCCUACACUCUUAUGGCAAGAACGCGACUGCCGCUUUUGCUAAGGCAUGUCCUUUGAUUCAUGCCAACAAGCGUACAAACAGUAAAACCUAUUCGCUUGGAAAAUGGUUUCGGAAUUCACCAUGGGGAAUCCAGAUGGGGAGAUGGGCGUCGUUACCAGCUGAUGCAUGAUAUUGUGUGCCGGGGCCAGGUCAGUUACAUAGCGUCCUGCUUGGAAUGUAGGAUGAGUCCUGUUCUUAAUAUUUUUGAUCUUCUACUUCUGUACUAGCGAGUUGAAUAUCAAGCUUGUGCACGCCGUGUGCUUAGUGUUAUGUGGGCUGGCAUACACUAAUGUUAGAGGACUUCUGUACUACGAGAGUAUGAAGCUCGUUGAAACAAGUAGCAAGGCCGGACAUACCCUUUGGUUCAUGUAUAUACACCUUAUAUGGAAAAAUAUUUUAAAUAAUUAUAAAAGUCAAAAUAGUUUGGUAGUUUUUUACAAUAAACUAUGCUUUCUUUUACACUAGUAUAUAAAUUUCCAUAAAUAGAAAACCACCCUUGAUUUCAGAAAAAAAAAUGUUUGCUAUUAUAGGUCACUACUCAGACCAAAAAUUUUGUCGUUUUUAAAAUGAAGUCAAUGACAUUUUUUUGGGGAUCUCUUUUUUACCAAUGCAAUGCAAGUCAAGUUUAUUUCAAAAGAAAGUAAGAAUUUGUUGCCUUUUAUUUAUUUACCAAAUUGUUUUUCCAUAUAGGGUGUACCCCUCUGUAGUAAUGCGUUCUUGUACCAAGUACACUUGUCAGAUUCUGCUUUUCAGGGAGAUGUGCCAGGUACAUUACCCCGUCGGUGUUCUGGCUGGACAUACUGCUUUGCUAAACGGCGCUGUACCCGUGGUAUAGAGACUAUUCCGAAUCUAUACACGCUGACCCAGAAAUUAGUACUACGCAAUAAAUAAGCGUGUUAAAUCUCGAAAGCAAAUACUCCAUUGAAAAAGCAAAAACGAUUUGUGUGCGUGCCAUAUGUGAGAGAUUCUACGCUACGGUUAGUAGGCUGCUACCCUACUACAAGCUGCUGAUUUAGACAGAACGAUGUGCACACUGCAAAAAUCUGUAUGUUGUCUCUGCACAGCGGCACUGCACUCCGUUAAAAAGUAUUAUACGAGGCGUCAAUAGGACAAAAGUAACGCAACGAGUCAAUCCUGGCACCCUGCACUGCACCAUGACUCGCUGAGUCAUGCAAACACUGACUCAUUGUGCAGUACGCGUCUACACAUCUAAAACUAACGGCAGCCAGUUUUACAAUUUGGUAAUCUCAGCACUGUCGACGUACUCCCUCCGUUUUUAUUUACUCUGCAUAUUAAAGUUGAUUAAAAUCAAAUUUUGUAAAAAUUAACCAAGUUUAUAGAAAAAGUACAAACAUUUACUAUAACAGAUCUAUAUGAUGUGAAAAUGCAUUCUUAAUAAAUCUAAGGGUAUUGAUUUCUAAUUGUAUAUGUUUAUAAAUUUAGUCAAAGUUUACAAAGAUUGACUUUGACUAAAGCUAAUACGCGGACUAAAUAAAAGCGAAGGAAGUACUAAGAGCAGCAGUAAAGUUAAUUGCACAAAAUAAACAUCUAGAUUCACAGAAAACCAUCAAAUUGGUAAUCCAUUGAAAAACCACAACAUUCUAGUAUUUUUUUGCAAAAAGGUAAUUUGAUCGUCUAUUCACUUUCUAACAAGUCGGGUCGGAUUGUAAGUAGUUGACUUUGCCAAAAAAUAAUACACACCCCUAUAUCUAAAAGAAAGCAAUCAAACCACCCGAUGGUCAGUAAUCCGGUUAACAUGUCUAAUGGACGUAUAUUAGAAACAACAAACAGUUUGGCAUGACAUUGCCUAUUUUUCCUUCAGUUUUUUCAUCUCAAGUUUUGUUACAGACAUUAGCCCUGUCAAAUAUCUCGUUUUGAUUUCGGUUUGCAGAGUAAGCACCGAUUUACUGCUGGUGAAUAGUGAUCACACUCUGUGGGGUCACACAUCUAAAAAUGAAAUCCGCCACCUCCACGGCAGAGCUGUCCAAUGGGCUAUAUAACUGUUGCAUGCAUUGACACCGUCACUGAAACAGCUUCCCCGGUGCAGAAAGAUUCAGCCGCAUGCGCAUUAAAAUAAGAGAGAUUCUUGUUUGUUGUACACUGUAGCAGAAAGGUGAAUCGCCUAUUAAGGACAGUAUAAUCAACCCUAAAGCGAGCCUUCUCACGCCUUUAGCAGUUUUGGCCGUUGGAUCUCAUGUCAUGACCAUUUGUGGCCGUCUGUUCGCUGCCUCACCCAGCUAUCAAUUGCUAAGUGGGCUUAGCUGUCCUGCGGCUGGCUACUCUGGUGGAAAAAACGGUGCAUUGUGGUUAACUGGGCCUGCUCCCGGACAAAGCCCAUCGAUUCAAUAGCCGCACUAAUUUGUUCUGCGGCGCUCAUCUCUCACGACCUGGAGGCGUGCAUAGGCGGCGAUGCGGGUGGCACGGCUAUCCCGGUCGCGGAUGCCGAGUUGUUCGAGCCACCCGGCCCGCACGCCGACGCCGGUAGAGACGAAGCGACGUUCGACUGUACAGGAGGGAAACUGCCUCGAUGGGAUUAAAGGAGGCAAUCAGUUAUCAGUUCCCGGAAGCAUUGACUAAUUAUUAAGGUGUGCGUUUCUUUUCCCUGAUCUGCAGCUGCUUCGAUUCCUGCACGCACAUAUAUCUUCAUCUUCUGGUGCUCUCCUCGCUCGUAUUACUCCAGCAAACAGACUGCCUAUCACGUCAUAGUCGGGAACUGGGGAUUGAUUGCCCGGUGGCCACAUCCUAGAUCGUUAAGCUGACCAGCCUGUAGAAGCUAGGAGCGGCUUCGAAAACGAUGACGAUUCUACUUAAUGGAGCUCCUCGUCAACCCUCGGUUGCUCACUCCGUUUAUAGAUGGUCGAUGGGAAUUCCAGGCCCUAUAAUAACCUUCUGACCCACUGUCGCCGUCCCAGGCCUGCGGCUGAUCCCCAUUUACCGAUCUACGUGAUGUGAGCCAACAAAACACGGUGAGCAACUGAGCACCCCACUCCUGUUCCUCCAUCUGAAGUUUGUAACAGGGUGAGCAACUGAACACCCCAAUUCUCUUCUGCCAUCUGCAAUUUUUCUUUUUGUUCAGAUCUUGCUACUGAUGGAAGGCAGUGUUUAUGUAUGUCUGUAAAUGGGACUCAUAAUUAAAUUUGUGUCAAAAAUUAUGUCUAACCAUUUUGCAAUUCUGAUUGACUGCUAUGGACAACUUGUUGAUUAUCUGUUUUCUUUGUAGCAGGUUUGGUGAGUCUCAUGACUACUCAGGGUUCUGUUUUUGCCUCUCUAGAUUUAUUUUCUAUGGUGUGCAAAUAAAUGAUGCGUUGUGUAUGCAGACUUGUUUGAUUAUGAAAUAAAGUAUGGAUUGGUCGUACGAAU